CUAAAGUACGAACUGUUGUGGUAGCGCUUUGCGUGGAUGACAGGCGUCGGCUUGUGCACAGAGGGUGGAAGGGUUAUGACCGUUCUGUUGUGUCAUGUCGUUGACAGCACAUCUCUUUUGCGGUGUAUUUCCGUGCUGGUGGUGGUUCUGUGGAUUCGUUGUUGUUUGUUGUGCUCCUGUUCUUCUUUUUCUUCUCAAUUUCGGGAGACUCUCUUGGCGGCCCUUGCUUUGUGUCCUUGACUGUCUUAACAAUUUUGGCACUGUCCCAUAAUACCUCGAUAUCAGACGCGUAAAACUCCUGUGCUAAGGCAGUGGUUAA
This 319-nucleotide long non-coding RNA is filed under the name Androctonus crassicauda. Lineage: Eukaryota; Metazoa; Arthropoda; Arachnida; Scorpiones; Buthidae. The record is from RNAcentral.